This 206-nucleotide microRNA precursor is filed under the name Oryza brachyantha (malo sina). RNAcentral describes it as "MIR812 microRNA precursor family". It matches the Rfam family "MIR812 microRNA precursor family". The record is from Rfam by way of RNAcentral. Lineage: Eukaryota; Viridiplantae; Streptophyta; Magnoliopsida; Poales; Poaceae.
AAUAAACCAAUCUUUCACUUUUUACCUAUAAUAUUUAACUCUUCGUCUUAUUUGAAAAAAAUUACGAUUAAUAUUUUUGUUUUUAUUAGAUUAUAAAUUAUGAAUAGUAUUUUACGUGUGACUAUUUUUUAAAAAAAUUCUUGAAAAUUUUUCAAAUAAAACAGAUAGUCAAACACUGGACAGACAAAUCUAAAGUUUGCCUUAUU